AAGGAUUUAAGUUAAACACAAACUAACAACCUUCAAAGUUGUCAACAGAAAUAAGGUCUAAGCCUUA
This 67-nucleotide transfer RNA is filed under the name Tenebrionoidea sp. 5 KM-2017. RNAcentral describes it as "tRNA-Trp". Lineage: Eukaryota; Metazoa; Arthropoda; Insecta; Coleoptera. The record is from RNAcentral.